This 58-nucleotide transfer RNA is filed under the name Trichostrongylus axei. RNAcentral's name for it is "tRNA-Ala". The record is from RNAcentral. Lineage: Eukaryota; Metazoa; Nematoda; Chromadorea; Rhabditida; Trichostrongylidae.
GGGAUCUUAAUUUAAAGUAUAAAAUAUAUGGUUUGCAUUCAUAAAAUUUAGAUUCUAU